This is a long non-coding RNA of Apis dorsata (giant honeybee), 853 nucleotides long. RefSeq lists it as uncharacterized. The transcript has 2 exons. The record is from RefSeq and is a predicted model, not a curated record. Lineage: Eukaryota; Metazoa; Arthropoda; Insecta; Hymenoptera; Apidae.
CAGUCAGAGAAAAGAUUGGGCGAUUUAUAAAAAGAAAAAAAAAAAAAAGAAACGCGAUGUCGUAGAUUAUUGGAUAUUGGAAAUGGGAAGUGGGGAAAAUUAAAAGGUCAAAGGGUGGAAGAUCGAAGCACCCAAGUUUAAAACAUAUAUCGAUGUAGUUGAAUUUUGGAGGAUUUUCUAUUUAUAGAAAAAUUCGAUACACGAGUAUUCUUCUAUUGAUCUUUAAAAAUUAAUUCAGUUUUUCAGAAUUCAUAUUUAAACAUCGUAGUAUAAAAUUAUUUUCUUUCUUCGAAUAAAGAGUUUACAUUUUCUAUAAUGAUUUUACAGAAAUUAUAGCAAAAAGAAGUACUAAUUUAAAACAAUUGUGCAAAGAAAUUUCCUAUUAAUUUGAAAUGCUAAUUUUAUGAAUUUAUUAAGAAAAGUUUAAUUUUAAAACAAAGGAAUCGGAUAAUUGGAAAUAGCAUAUUAUUCACCGAUUUCUUAAAUUAUAUCAUACCAAUUCCACGUAUAUCGAGAAAUGAUAUACAGAUAUCUUUAUUAUCGAUAAGAAUGAAACAGAGAUAUUUCUACAUCGAUAAUAUUGUUUCUUUGCAAAAUUAAGUUCUUCGAUGUCAGAUGUCACUAGUUUCGAUCGCGAAUGAUUCGUACAACUUUACCAUACGAGUUCGGAUCAAUUUUGCGAAUAAGAAAAAUUGGGGAUGAAUUCGACGAGUGUAGUUUUCCGAAAUAAAUUCGAAUUAUUUUUAAUUAUGAAAUCAGAAUUGCUACUACAGACGAUUAAUAUAUUUAGAAAUAUAUAUUUACUUUUCCAAUUUCGUUGGAGUAAUAAAAUAAAUAUUUCAUCUCUACCACC